RNAcentral lists this ribosomal RNA (1545 nucleotides) under Salmonella enterica. RNAcentral describes it as "bacterial SSU rRNA". It matches the Rfam family "Bacterial small subunit ribosomal RNA". The record is from RNAcentral. RNAcentral also lists the same sequence under 3 other names. Lineage: Bacteria; Pseudomonadati; Pseudomonadota; Gammaproteobacteria; Enterobacterales; Enterobacteriaceae.
AAAUUGAAGAGUUUGAUCAUGGCUCAGAUUGAACGCUGGCGGCAGGCCUAACACAUGCAAGUCGAACGGUAACAGGAAGCAGCUUGCUGCUUUGCUGACGAGUGGCGGACGGGUGAGUAAUGUCUGGGAAACUGCCUGAUGGAGGGGGAUAACUACUGGAAACGGUGGCUAAUACCGCAUAACGUCGCAAGACCAAAGAGGGGGACCUUCGGGCCUCUUGCCAUCAGAUGUGCCCAGAUGGGAUUAGCUUGUUGGUGAGGUAACGGCUCACCAAGGCGACGAUCCCUAGCUGGUCUGAGAGGAUGACCAGCCACACUGGAACUGAGACACGGUCCAGACUCCUACGGGAGGCAGCAGUGGGGAAUAUUGCACAAUGGGCGCAAGCCUGAUGCAGCCAUGCCGCGUGUAUGAAGAAGGCCUUCGGGUUGUAAAGUACUUUCAGCGGGGAGGAAGGUGUUGUGGUUAAUAACCGCAGCAAUUGACGUUACCCGCAGAAGAAGCACCGGCUAACUCCGUGCCAGCAGCCGCGGUAAUACGGAGGGUGCAAGCGUUAAUCGGAAUUACUGGGCGUAAAGCGCACGCAGGCGGUCUGUCAAGUCGGAUGUGAAAUCCCCGGGCUCAACCUGGGAACUGCAUUCGAAACUGGCAGGCUUGAGUCUUGUAGAGGGGGGUAGAAUUCCAGGUGUAGCGGUGAAAUGCGUAGAGAUCUGGAGGAAUACCGGUGGCGAAGGCGGCCCCCUGGACAAAGACUGACGCUCAGGUGCGAAAGCGUGGGGAGCAAACAGGAUUAGAUACCCUGGUAGUCCACGCCGUAAACGAUGUCUACUUGGAGGUUGUGCCCUUGAGGCGUGGCUUCCGGAGCUAACGCGUUAAGUAGACCGCCUGGGGAGUACGGCCGCAAGGUUAAAACUCAAAUGAAUUGACGGGGGCCCGCACAAGCGGUGGAGCAUGUGGUUUAAUUCGAUGCAACGCGAAGAACCUUACCUGGUCUUGACAUCCACAGAACUUUCCAGAGAUGGAUUGGUGCCUUCGGGAACUGUGAGACAGGUGCUGCAUGGCUGUCGUCAGCUCGUGUUGUGAAAUGUUGGGUUAAGUCCCGCAACGAGCGCAACCCUUAUCCUUUGUUGCCAGCGAUUAGGUCGGGAACUCAAAGGAGACUGCCAGUGAUAAACUGGAGGAAGGUGGGGAUGACGUCAAGUCAUCAUGGCCCUUACGACCAGGGCUACACACGUGCUACAAUGGCGCAUACAAAGAGAAGCGACCUCGCGAGAGCAAGCGGACCUCAUAAAGUGCGUCGUAGUCCGGAUUGGAGUCUGCAACUCGACUCCAUGAAGUCGGAAUCGCUAGUAAUCGUGGAUCAGAAUGCCACGGUGAAUACGUUCCCGGGCCUUGUACACACCGCCCGUCACACCAUGGGAGUGGGUUGCAAAAGAAGUAGGUAGCUUAACCUUCGGGAGGGCGCUUACCACUUUGUGAUUCAUGACUGGGGUGAAGUCGUAACAAGGUAACCGUAGGGGAACCUGCGGUUGGAUCACCUCCUUACCU